UCCUCUUUAGUGCAGCAGGCAGAGUGUCAAUCUCCUAAACUGAAGGUCCUGAGUUCGAUCCCCAAAAGGGGAA
Molecule: transfer RNA, 73 nt
Filed under: Monodelphis domestica (gray short-tailed opossum)
Lineage: Eukaryota; Metazoa; Chordata; Mammalia; Didelphimorphia; Didelphidae
Rfam family: tRNA
About the family: Transfer RNA (tRNA) molecules are approximately 80 nucleotides in length.
Source: Rfam by way of RNAcentral